UUGCUUUUCUGAUGACGACCGGCGCACGGGUGCGUAACGCGUAUACACCUACCUUUUAGCGGGGAAUAGCCCAGGGAAACUUGGAUUAAUGCCCAUAGUAUAUAGACUUCUCCUGAAGUUUAUAUUUAAACAUUUAUGGCUAUUAGAUGGGUAUGCGUCCUAUUAGUUAGUUGGUAAGGUAACGGCUUACCAAGGCAGCGAUAGGUAGGGGUCCUGAGAGGGAGAUCCCCACACUGGUACUGAGACACGGACCAGACUCCUACGGGAGGCAGCAGUGAGGAAUAUUGGACAAUGGGCGAGAGCCUGAUCCAGCCAUGCCGCGUGCAGGAAGACUGCCCUAUGGGUUGUAAACUGCUUUUACAGAGGAAGAACCACCCCACGUGUGGGGGUUUGACGGUACUCUGCGAAUAAGGAUCGGCUAACUCCGUG
Molecule: ribosomal RNA, 429 nt
Filed under: uncultured bacterium
Lineage: Bacteria
Description: bacterial SSU rRNA
Rfam family: Bacterial small subunit ribosomal RNA
Source: RNAcentral